UGGCGGCGUGCUUAACACAUGCAAGUCGAACGAUGAUGGAGGGCUUGCUCUUCGGAUUAGUGGCGAACGGGUGAGUAACACGUGAGCAACCUGCCCCGGACUCUGGGAUAAGCGCUGGAAACGGCGUCUAAUACCGGAUAUGAACCACAGCCGCAUGGUUGGUGGUUGGAAAGAUUUUUUGGUUCGGGAUGGGCUCGCGGCCUAUCAGCUUGUUGGUGAGGUAAUGGCUCACCAAGGCGUCGACGGGUAGCCGGCCUGAGAGGGUGACCGGCCACACUGGGACUGAGACACGGCCCAGACUCCUACGGGAGGCAGCAGUGGGGAAUAUUGCACAAUGGGCGGAAGCCUGAUGCAGCAACGCCGCGUGAGGGAUGACGGCCUUCGGGUUGUAAACCUCUUUUAGCAAGGAAGAAGCGAAAGUGACGGUACUUGCAGAAAAAGCGCCGGCUAACUACGUGCCAGCAGCCGCGGUAAUACGUAGGGCGCAAGCGUUAUCCGGAAUUAUUGGGCGUAAAGAGCUCGUAGGCGGUUUGUCGCGUCUGCUGUGAAAACUGGAGGCUCAACCUCCAGCCUGCAGUGGGUACGGGCAGACUAGAGUGCGGUAGGGGAGAUUGGAAUUCCUGGUGUAGCGGUGGAAUGCGCAGAUAUCAGGAGGAACACCGAUGGCGAAGGCAGAUCUCUGGGCCGUAACUGACGCUGAGGAGCGAAAGGGUGGGGAGCAAACAGGCUUAGAUACCCUGGUAGUCCACCCCGUAAACGUUGGGAACUAGUUGUGGGGGCCAUUCCACGGUCUCCGUGACGCAGCUAACGCA
Molecule: ribosomal RNA, 812 nt
Filed under: Microbacterium sp.
Lineage: Bacteria; Bacillati; Actinomycetota; Actinomycetes; Micrococcales; Microbacteriaceae
Description: bacterial SSU rRNA
Rfam family: Bacterial small subunit ribosomal RNA
Source: RNAcentral